RNAcentral lists this ribosomal RNA (253 nucleotides) under uncultured bacterium. Its description in RNAcentral is "partial 16S ribosomal RNA". It matches the Rfam family "Bacterial small subunit ribosomal RNA", at positions 524 to 776 of the family's 1533-position model. The record is from RNAcentral.
UACGAAGGGGGCUAGCGUUGCUCGGAAUCACUGGGCGUAAGGCGCACGUAGGCGGCUUACUAAGUCAGGGGUGAAAUCCUGGAGCUCAACUCCAGAACUGCCUUUGAUACUGAGGGGCUUGAGUCCGGGAGAGGUGAGUGGAACUGCGAGUGUAGAGGUGAAAUUCGUAGAUAUUCGCAAGAACACCAGUGGCGAAGGCGGAUCUCUGGGCCUUACCUGACGCUGAGGCGCGAAAGCUAGGGGAGCGAACAGG